GGAAUAUUGGACAAUGGCCGCAAGGCUGAUCCAGCCAUCCAGCGUGCAGGAAGACGGCCCUAUGGGUUGUAAACUGCUUUUAUCAGGGAAGAAACCUCGGGAUUUACUCCGGAGCUGCCGGUACCUGAAGAAUAAGCACCGGCCAACUCCGUUCCAGCCGCCGCGGUAAUACGGAGGGUGCAAGCGUUAUCCGGAAUUACUGGGUUUAAAGGGUGCGUAGGCGGCUUUGUAAGUCAGGAGUGAAAGUUUGCGGCUUAACCGUAAAAUUGCUUUUGAUACUGCAUCGCUAGCAUUAGGAUGAGGUCAGCGGAAUGUGGCAUGUAGCGGUGAAAUGCAUAGAUAUGCCAUAGAACACCAAUUGCGAAGGCAGCUGGCUAGACCUAUAUUGACGCUGAGGCACGAAAGCGUGGGGAGCGAAC
RNAcentral lists this ribosomal RNA (419 nucleotides) under uncultured bacterium. Its description in RNAcentral is "bacterial SSU rRNA". It matches the Rfam family "Bacterial small subunit ribosomal RNA", at positions 358 to 773 of the family's 1533-position model. The record is from RNAcentral.